This 244-nucleotide long non-coding RNA is filed under the name Manacus vitellinus (golden-collared manakin). RNAcentral's name for it is "lncRNA (ENSMVIG00005004814.1)". The record is from RNAcentral. Lineage: Eukaryota; Metazoa; Chordata; Aves; Passeriformes; Pipridae.
CAAGAAAAUACACUUUUUGAAAGACUAAAAGAAGUGGCACUGUGCGUGUAAGGGAAGUCUGACAUAAUUGACCACAGUUUUGCAGUGGAAUGGAUGCAGGACUUCGAGACUUUCAGGAUGCCCUGAAUCAAGAGACUUCCUAUGUCAGUAACCUGACUCGUUCUGUGAGUUUAGUGUUGGAUGAAUUUUACAGUUCAUUGAAGUGACUGAGGAGAGUCAUGAAGAACCAGCCUUCAGAAACUUU